Molecule: ribosomal RNA, 580 nt
Filed under: uncultured bacterium
Lineage: Bacteria
Description: partial 16S ribosomal RNA
Rfam family: Bacterial small subunit ribosomal RNA
Source: RNAcentral
UGGGGAAUUUUGGACAAUGGGCGCAAGCCUGAUCCAGCCAUGCCGCGUGCGGGAAGAAGGCCUUCGGGUUGUAAACCGCUUUUGUCAGGGAAGAAAUCUUCUGAGUUAAUACCUCGGGAGGAUGACGGUACCUGAAGAAUAAGCACCGGCUAACUACGUGCCAGCAGCCGCGGUAAUACGUAGGGUGCAAGCGUUAAUCGGAAUUACUGGGCGUAAAGCGUGCGCAGGCGGUUUUGUAAGACAGAGGUGAAAUCCCCGGGCUCAACCUGGGAACUGCCUUUGUGACUGCAAGGCUUGAGUGCGGCAGAGGGGGAUGGAAUUCCGCGUGUAGCAGUGAAAUGCGUAGAUAUGCGGAGGAACACCGAUGGCGAAGGCAAUCCCCUGGGCCUGCACUGACGCUCAUGCACGAAAGCGUGGGGAGCAAACAGGAUUAGAUACCCUGGUAGUCCACGCCCUAAAACGAUGUCAACUGGUUGUUGGGAAGGUUCCUUCUCAGUAACGUAGCUAACGCGUGAAGUUGACCGCCUGGGGAGUACGGCCGCAAGGUUGAAACUUAAAUGAAUUGACGGGGUCAUAGCUG